GAGUUUUUCUUCACCCAUGGUCAGGGAGGCGCCAUCGCCCUGGCUUUGGGGCUGGGGCCUCCGGGGAGGUUCCGGUAGGGGCGUUGGAGAGGCCGCUCUUUUUGCAAGGCCCGAGAUGGCGGGCCCUGCGCAGGCCGCCCUAUUCCGCGCCCUCAGGGCGUCAGUAUCCGCCUGAGGCCGGAUACCCACUCUGGGCUCGGAUACCCGCGCUGGGCCCGGAGCAUCCUCGGCGCUGCCCUCCCAGAGCCCCGCAGAGGCUGAGGUGGCGCGGGGGCGGCCCCGGCUCCGCGAGAAGAGGCGGCAGCGAGGGCUGGAGGACCCGGGCUACGGGGCUCCGGGGCGUCUGGCCUGGGUGGGACUGAGCCCAUCCAGGGACUGGGACUCCGGGGUUCUGGUGUAGGUGGAUCCCGGGCAGGCUCAGGACCAAGACCCUCUCCUUCCACCAAGGAGCGCCCAGAGGCCGGCGGGAGCUCCAGGUUCACCUCCUCCUCCUCCAGGAAAUCCCACUUCCAGCUGGAUGUCUGGAUGAACUCCUGAAAGCUGCUGAGUGUCCUGCAGCAGGUGAGCUGUGGCCAGAGCCCAAGGAUGAAGGGGACUCCCUCACUCUGUGACUGUGAAGAGGAAGCCUGAGGUGUAGCAGGCCCAGGCCCCAGAAGUAUGGAAAAAAUGAGCCUUUCAUCCCAAAGAUGCAGCCGACUUGAUUGUGGUGGAUGAGCUUUUUGAUGUGCUGCUGGAUUCUGUUUGCUAGUAUUCUAUUAAGAAUUUUUGCAUUGAUGUUCAUCAGGGAUAUUGGCCUGGAUUGAGCAGCUUGACUACCACACAAAUUAAUCCACUCAAAUGUUGGCAAGUGGAGCAGAGUCCCAGGACAGGUACAGAAACACCCCCAGUUCAAGGAUCUUCACACCUGGAUUUAGGCCUACACCUGCAACUACCCCAGGCCAGUUAUCCAGGCAGUGACUUUCUGUACAGCUACAGUCACCUCUGGACACCUGCGGAGACUUUAAAAAUUUCCAGAAGGUCAGGAAUUUUUGGAGACCUUUCUUAUGGCUACGUUGCCUGCAAAGGUGAAUCAAUAAGCUUCUGAACUGACUUAGAAAAUGUUGCAGAGACUCUUGUGAACAGAUAGACCCUCUCCUGCCACUCCAGAUAGACGUAUCCGGGUCACACACACCUGAUUUAACAACAUCUCAUUAUCUCAGGUGAGCAACAGACAGCAAUUUAGGACCUAUCCCAGUGUGGAUGAGAGAUAUUGAGUUGGCUUAGAAAAAUGUUAGAUAGACUAGAUGGGGCAAGAAAGCCCAUUCUGGGGCUCAAAAGCCUGCACAUAGAGUUGCUGGCACAUAAAGGGUAUGUAUAAAUUCUUUCUCAGCCCAUGAGAUCAGGAUGAACUUCAUCAGUAUACCAUGCUGGUAUGAAGAGAUUAUUGCCUCCAAAGGGACUCAGAAUAUUUCAGGGAUCCUGUAUUAGUCCAUUUUUACACUGUUGUAAAGACACUACCCCACACUGGGUAAUUUACAAAGGGAAGAUGUUUAAUUAAUUCACAGUUCUGCAUCGCUGGGGAGGCCUCAGGAAACUUACAGUCACGGUGGAAGGCAAGACAGAAGCAGGCACCUUUUUUCACAAGGUGGCAGGAGAGAGAAGUGAGUGCACAGAAAAAAAAACCUCCUACUUUUAAAACCAUCAGAUCUCCUAAGAAUUCACUCACUAUCAUGAGGAUAGCAUGAAGUAAACUUCUUCGACACAUGGCGAUUACAGGUCCCUCUGUCGAUGUGUGGGGAUAAUAAUUUGAGAUGAGGUUUGGGUGGGGACACAGAGCCAAACCAUAUUAUUCUGCUCCUGGCACCUCCCAAAUCUCAUGUCUUUUAUAUAUAUUUCAAAACCAAUCAUGCUUUCCCAACAGUCCCCCAAAGUCUUAACUGAUUCCAGCAUAACUCAAAACUCCAAGUCCAAAGUCUUAUUUGAGACAAGUCCCUUCUGCCUAUCAGCCUAUAAAAUUAAAAAAAAAGUUAGUUACAUCCACAAUGGGGACCUCAUGACCCUGACCAGUGCCCUAUCCUACUGUGGCUCAACUGAUAUCCAAGAUGCAAGACAAAGUCCUUUUUACUCUUUCCUCUAAUCUCCUCUAGCAGAAGGAAGCGGUCUUUUUUGGAGCUGCAAGCUGUGCUGCCUGGGGUUGGGGGAGUGGUAAUGCAAGUACUCCUUUAGCUGUCCUGGCUGGUGUCUCAGUAGGUUUUAUGGCCACUCACCUCAGUACACUGACUCUGAGUACAGUACUAUUGUGUCUGCAGUAGUGUAUGACAUGGAAAAUAAAUCUCCAUUCUCCAAGACUCUUCUUGAGCAUCAAGUCUGCCUGAUUGUUGAGAUAUAGCUACAGACUUUCCUCGCUGAGCCUAGCAUGCACAUGUUCCUCUGCUGGAAAAAAAAAAAAAACCAAACAAGCCACCAAACAACUUCCCACAAGUGGAAUGUUCUGGGACUCAAGGGGAGUCCCUGAAAUUCUGAUUACUGCAUAUGCUGCUGCUGCUUCUCUGGGUCUAGCUACCCAGUGGGGCUGCUGCACACUAGGCUGGUGCUCAAGAAUGUCUGCAAUGGACCCAGUGAUGUAAUCUGUCCUCAAGUCUCACAGCAGUGUGUAUCAGCAGCUGAUCAGAUGGGGAUGGCAGGGGAGUGAUGUAGACUCUGAAAGAUUCCUUGGUUAUAAAUAGUCCUAGUGUGUUGUGUAUUGGAUUUCUCAAAUGCCAGUUGUAGUAGUAAUGAACUCAUCACAUGGACAGACUCAGGGCCUCCUGGUUAGCCAGAGUGAUGCAAGCAAUGGUAACAGAUGUGGUCACUCACAACUUUUCUCCUUCCUGGGUGCUAUGUUAUUCUACCUGCAGAUGCUGUAAAGGACUGUCAGUAGGCCUUCAGCCAGGAGGUGGUGCUUCCAAAAGACUGCCAGCUGUGGUGGUAGUGGCACCAAUUUGAUCUUCUACUACUUUGCAGACAUCUCUUCUGCAAACACCAGACAAACUGAGACAAUGAACUUCCGCAGGACCCAAAGCACCUCUUACUGCAGGAAAGAAGAUCCAGUGAGAUAGUUAGUCCACAAAUGGAAUGUCAAUCCAUAAACACACUUAAGUAACAGAAUAAAUUUAGUAUGAGCGUUUUUAUGUGGGAGCUCUUGAAAUGGUUGCUGCUCAUAUGUCAGAGACAUAUGCAGUUUAAGAAAGGUAGCAGUUCCAAUCCUGGUUUGGCCCAACAGUCACUGCAUUUUUGGUGGGGAAAAGGGAUGUGGGAGGAGAUGGUACAUCUUCAUCUUUUUCUCUGGGUUUUCUGUCAGAAAGGGAUGUUGCUUACUCCAGUGGCAAAAAAUGCCAGUGUCUUCUGCCAGAGUGGGUUACUGAGGGCCAUGGUGGUUCCACCUUGUGGCUGAUACAGAUAGUCCCUUUCUGCUUUUGUUUCUAGCCAAAAAAGAUGUUUCUCGCAUCUCAGGUAUGCAGACUUCAGCAGCUGUUUUUUCUAUAUGGCUAUUUUUUUUUUCUUUCACUCUCUCUUUCUCUCUUUUUUUUUUGUUGGCUUCACUGUGUUGCCAUAGUUUCUUAAAUGGUCCCUUGAACCCUCCCAGAGCUAUUUUGGUUUGUACAUAACUAUCUAUAUAUUUUUUUCUUGGGGGGAGUGUGUAGAGCUAAAGGCUGGUAUAUCCUGCUCCUGCUCCCCGAAAGUGACGUUAUUCCCCCAAGCUAAUAUUUCAGGCUUUCAAUUUAUUCAUGCUUUCAUCUGUUUAAACAUAAGUAGAAAUUACUUUUUCUCUCCACAUUUAGAUUUGAUCUAUCUACUUUAAUUGCUAAUAGUGUCUUAGUCAUAGAAUAGAUUAGUUAGAAAAAAGUGUUUUUGACAUUAUAAAUGAUUCUUUCAAUUUGUGUCUAAAAGUGGAAAAUACUAGAAAGCUUAACAUUUAUUAUUGUAUUCAGACCAGUAUUUCCUCCAGAUGACCUUUAUUACAACAAAGAUAAUUUAAUGAAGAUCUCUCUAAUGGUAAAGCUGAUGGCUUUGUGCUAUUACAAUAUCCUUCAAAUAAAGUGACGAUCUGGUGGAAAGAACAACUAAAGCAAGGAUUAGGAAGAAAACAGUUAAUACCUUCAUUUUGGUCUCACUCUGCAUUAAGAGUUUUCAUUGUGUUAAGGAUUUAUUAUACAUUAAGUAAUUUAAUGUUCAUUUAAUAAUAAAUGGAUCCUAUUAAAUAUGAUUUUUAAAAUUAUAAUCACAUUACUUUUAUUCACAUCUGUCUACUGAUGCCAUUCCUAGAUGAGAAUGAUAUAACAUUAUUUUUUUUUUCAUUUUGCCACAUCUUUACUUACUUAGGUUUAUGCUGUAUCAAACAAUGUAUGUGUGGGAGUAAUGAUGAUUCAGGAAUGCAUGAGGAGGAGGUUUAAGCUCUUUAACCUUGAACAAUUAAAAUUAGCAACAUAAUAUUGAAAUACAUACAUAACACUCAAAUGGUACUUUCAAAAUAGUGUAUAUUUCCUCUGUUUAUUUGUAGCUUUUAAACCCAGCUAGAAGCAUUCUAUUUCCUUUAGGCACCAUAAGUCUGAAAGUCUGUAGUGAAAACUACAAGUAGUAAAUGAUACUAAUUCAUGUGCUCCCACCUGUGGAAGAAUUGAAUGUCUUAGAUAAAAAAAGAUGGUGCAAUUGGUGUACAAAGUAUCUAGAAUACAAUUUGGUGGUGGUUUUUCUGUUUCCAUAGCAGAGUAACAUAUAUAAUAUUCCCCUUUCAUCAAGUUAUUUAAAUAUGCCUUUGAACGGGGAGAAUUGAAAAUAAUACUGUGAAUCCUGGUAAACAUUUUAAAAUAAUGAGAAGAAUAUUGCCUUUAAAAAGUCAAAAUUUGUCUGAUUACAACCCAUAUAGCAAUUUCAUAGCAAAACACUUCCUUCAAUCCUAUUAAAAUCAGAAGGAAAAGAAGAAUACCCACUGUCAAUGUUAUAUUAAUAUAGUUCUAAAAGUUUUGGACAAUGAAAUAUGUUGUAAGAAGAGAAGUCAGGGGAGACUUGAGCCCAUUGUUUUCCCUCUCCUUCUAUACCUCCCAAAAUACCACUGGAAUGUUGUAACAUUUUGAAGAAUCUAUAGCAGUGUCCCAAAUCAUAGAACAGUAUGAAUACAUCUGAAUCUGAGAUAUCUCCGAAAGGUACAAUAUAUGUGUGAUUAGAAUGAAAGAAAGAUUUAGGCUUUUGGCCAUGACUGCAAGUUAGCUGGUCUCAAAUGACUGCUGCUAUUGAACAAAUACAUUUUAGAGGAUCUCUUUGAAACAUUUCUAUUCUUGAAAACGGUUAGGCAAGUUUUUAAAAUAUCUCCUUUUUCAAACACAAAAAUAGUCUGUGAACUGGAGCUUGAGCACUGGGCACUUUGUAUUGGCUAGCUGAUGGAGGGGUGUGAGGGUUUCCCAGAUCUUCUGGGAAGAUCUGCUAUUAUCAGCAAUGCUAAUGGUGGUACUACUGACUCUUGGGCCAUCAGAAAUUCCAGUUCGUUAAUCCUGGAACUUCUAUAUUGAGAUAAAGCAUUGAGUCAGUUUCACAGAGGAAGUUUGGAUAAUAGCAUUCUCAUUUCAGACCAUAGAAUGAUGGCAGAUUAAGGAUGAGCAAUGAGUUCAGUAUUAAAAAUGAUCAGGUAAGCAAGACACCAUGAAUAAAAGUUAAUGAAAUGAAUAGCACAUUUAAAUCUUUGAAAACUAAAUGUAUUGAAAUUGUCAAUGUGGAGAAAUAAUUAAGCAGCUGUGUAUCGAUUGUUUAAAGAAACAAUCUACUAUUACAAAGAUGUAAAAACAAUAGUAAAACAAUAUAGAUGAUAGAAAAAAUGGGCAGGUCUCACUGGGCGUCGUGGCUCAUGCCUGUAAUCGCAGUACUUUGGGAGGCCGAAGCGGGCGGGUCAUGAGGUCAGGAGUUCAAGAACAGCAUGCCCAAGAUGGUGAAAACUUGUCUCUACUAAAAAAAAAGUGUAUAUAUGUAUAAAUUAGCUGAACAUGGUAAUGUGCACCUGUAGUCCCAGCUACUCAGGAGGCUGAGGCAGGAGAAUCACUUGAACCCGGGAGGUGGGGGUUGCAGUGAGCCAGGAUUGCACCACUGCAUUCCAGCCUGGGCAACAGAGUGAGACUCUGUCUCCAAAAAAAACAAAACAAAACAAAAAGGCAGGUCUGAAUAAAAAAAAUUUAAAAAUAAAUGCAAGUUAUUAAUGAUAUAUUAGAUAUAGGUAACAGGAUAAUUAGUAAAGAAAAAAAUGCUUAAAUGAUAUACCCAGAAUGUAGCAUGGAAACACAAGGUCUAACAUUUAUUUAAUUCAAAUAUGGGGGGAGAGAAGCGUAAGAGGAUUCACCGUUUCAAGAGAGUCUCAAAAGAAAUUAGGAAAAAGUAUAAAUCCAUGGAUUCAAAGAACGUAUUUCUAACAGAUGAUAUAAAAAUAAAUUCACAUUAGUUAAAUUAUAAAUUAUAAAACAUUAAAACCAAAGACCAGACCAUACAAACAUUGAAAAAAGGGCAAUUUAUAAUGAAAUAAUAUUUAUCUGAUUAUUAUAAUAAGGCAAAAACUAAAAAUGAGUAAACUAGUAUCAACAAAUAUUGAGAGAAAAUAACUGUUAGUAUAGAACUGGGUACUCAGUAAUGCUGUCUUUCAAGAACAAAAAUAACAAUAUGAAAUUGACAGAUAAAAACUAAAAUUGUUCACUAUCAAGAGAUCUGCAGCAAAUAAAAUUUCAAAGGCUAUAUAUCAGGAAGAAAGAAUUUAACCCAAAAGCUGAUCUCAGAGUCAACUUGGAAUUCCAUAAAUAUCACUAAACUGAUGAUAAUAGUAAUACUUUCUGACAUGGGGGGAUUCUGAAAAGAAGUGAACUUUUACUUUUGUUUAGAGUUUAGAAAGCUAUAGAAAAAUGCUCUUGCCCUGACCAAGAGAAUAAGCUGGAUAAUCUAUAGAUCAUAGAUUUCAUUUUAAAAGACAGAGCUGAGGUCUCAAAAAAAGCUAAUUAACUUAAAUUCAGAGUAAUGAAGCCCUACUGAAAAAAGAACGGAUCCACAGAUGAUUUGUGUGUACCUGAGUUGCAGCAGCAGAAGCAGGAGGAAGCUGCCCUUGAUGGAGAUAAGAAGGAAACAAGUGAACCUCAAGCAAAUGUUGAAAGGCUGAAUGUGGGCUUGUGAUAGUUUAGCAUCUGUAGGGGCCCAAACACACUCACUCACUCACUAAUGCUUUAAUGCUUUUCUUUUCUUUCUUUCUUUCUCUUUCUCUUUCUUUCUUUCUUUCUUUCUUUCUCUCUUUUCUUCCUUUUUUUUUUUUUUUGACAGAGUCUCACUCUGUCACCCAGGCUAGAGUGCAAUGGCAUGAUCUCGGCUCACUACCACCUCCGCCUCCAGGGUUCAAGCGAUUGUCCUGCCUCAGCCUCCCAAGUAGCUGGAACUACAGGCACGUGCCACCACACCCUGCUAAUUUUUUGUAUUAGUAGAGACAGGGUUUCACCGUGUUGGCCACUGACUUCAUGAUCCCAAAGUGCUGGGAUUACAGUGCCUCGGCCUCCCAAAGUGCUGGGAUUACAGUGCCUUGGCCUCCCAAAGUGCUGGGAUUACAGGUGUGAUCCCACUAAUGGUUUUUUCAUGACCUAUCUUGUGUGCUCCUAGGUAAAAUCAGAUGGAGAGCAGGAGAACUUCCUGCGACACUUUUGAGGGACAGGCAUGUAGGAACUGCUGCAAUUUGAGGUUGGAGAAAGGUAAAGGUCGCACUGUGAGAAUCGGGGAAAAUCCUCUGUUACUGGGGAGUGGGUUGGGGAGCUGAGAGAAUCCCCCCUUCACUCUCUUUUCUCACAGGUGCAUAAGAAGAGAGGCCUGAUGAGGUCUGAAGGCAGGGGAGGGCAGGUAGCUGAGAGAAGUAGAUUUUCUGGUCUUUCACUGAGUGUGAGGCAGCUACUGCCCGUGGUUGGGCAAGGGAUGGGAGCCCUGAGAGAUUCUUGAGGUGCAGAGAUAGAGGCUUGCUGAAGAUGAAAGUGGACAGGAAAGCUAAGAGAGGCUCCAAUGCUGACCAUGGCACUCUGCAAGAAGAGAAAAUCUGUAUGUAGAGGUUUCUGAGGGAAAAUCGUGAGUUCAGUUUUGGAUAUAUAUUACUUUUGAAAUCAAGUGUCCAAGUAGAUAUAUCAGUUAUGCCGUUAGAUAAUUUAUUAUAAGCCUGGAGUUCAAAAGGAGGUCCAAAAGGAGAAUUGAAAGGGAUGAGACUUGCUGAGCCCCUCCAAAGAGUGUGUGGUGAGGGAGAAGAGAAGAGGACCAGGAACUGAGCUCUGGAGCUCUCCUAUAGGAGGUGUCAUGCAAAAGAUGAGGAAGAAACAAAGGAAGCCGAAGUGGUAGCUCCAGUGAGACAGGCUGAGAAUCAAGUGAAUGUGCCAUCCUGGAAGCCAAGUGAAGAAAUUAUACUGUGAAGAAGGUAGUGAUUAUUUGUGUCAAAUGCUGCUAAUAGGCCAAUUAAAGUUAUAGUGAAAAAUGAUCAUUGGAUCUAGCAAUGUGGAGAUUAUUGGUAACUUUGACAAAAGUGGUGUCAAUAUCAUGAUCGAAAAAGGGGGAGAGAGCCUGAUUGGGAUAUAUUUAAGAAACAAUGAGAGGAGACGAAUUGAAGAAAGAGAGUAUGGACAACUAUUUUAAGAUGUUUUGCUGAAAAGUAGAGCAAAAAAUGGGAUGACAGCUGGCAUCAGAAGAAAAGCAAGGACAUUCUUUUUCUUAGAUCAGAAAAACAACAGCAUAUUUGUAUGCUGAUGGUAAUAAUUUACUAGCAUCAAAAUUGAUGACAUAGUCGUGAUAUAGUGAACUGCAACAGGAAAAUCCCCAAGUACACAGCAAAGAGGGAAUAUAAUACACAAAUUUAAAAAUUAUUUGAAUCUCUGAAACAUCUGUUUUGAUAUUAACCUUUCAUUCCUGCAAUAGUUAUUUUAAGCAUGUUCUCAUUUUCUCUUGUUCAGUGUUGCCAGAUUAUUAUAAAGUGUAUUAGACUUUUUGAAAAACAUUUUUAAAAAU
Molecule: long non-coding RNA, 9009 nt
Filed under: Homo sapiens (human)
Lineage: Eukaryota; Metazoa; Chordata; Mammalia; Primates; Hominidae
Description: HSALNT0366520
Source: RNAcentral